Molecule: ribosomal RNA, 508 nt
Filed under: uncultured bacterium
Lineage: Bacteria
Description: bacterial SSU rRNA
Rfam family: Bacterial small subunit ribosomal RNA
Source: RNAcentral
GAUGAACGCUGGCGGCGUGCCUAAUACAUGCAAGUCGAACGAACUUCCGUUAAUUGAUCAGGACGUGCUUGCACUGAAUGAGAUUUUAACACGAAGUGAGUGGCGGACGGGUGAGUAACACGUGGGUAACCUGCCCAGAAGCAGGGGAUAACACCUGGAAACAGAUGCUAAUACCGUAUAACAGAGAAAACCGCCUGGUUUUCUUUUAAAAGAUGGCUCUGCUAUCACUUCUGGAUGGACCCGCGGCGCAUUAGCUAGUUGGUGAGGUAACGGCUCACCAAGGCGAUGAUGCGUAGCCGACCUGAGAGGGUAAUCGGCCACAUUGGGACUGAGACACGGCCCAGACUCCUACGGGAGGCAGCAGUAGGGAAUCUUCCACAAUGGACGCAAGUCUGAUGGAGCGACGCCGCGUGAGUGAAGAAGGGUUUCGGCUCGUAAAGCUCUGUUGUUAAAGAAGAACGUGGGUGAGAGUAACUGUUCACCCAGUGACGGUAUUUAACCAGAAAGC